Molecule: ribosomal RNA, 449 nt
Filed under: uncultured Actinomycetes bacterium
Lineage: Bacteria; Bacillati; Actinomycetota; Actinomycetes
Description: bacterial SSU rRNA
Rfam family: Bacterial small subunit ribosomal RNA
Source: RNAcentral
CGCGAAGAACCUUACCAAGGCUUGACAUAUAGGGAAAAGUGGCAGAGAUGUCAUGUCCGCAAGGGCUCUAUACAGGUGGUGCAUGGUUGUCGUCAGCUCGUGUCGUGAGAUGUUGGGUUAAGUCCCGCAACGAGCGCAACCCUCGUUCUGUGUUGCCAGCAUUUAGUUGGGGACUCACAGGAGACUGCCGGGGUUAACUCGGAGGAAGGUGGGGAUGACGUCAAAUCAUCAUGCCCCUUAUGUCUUGGGCUGCACGCAUGCUACAAUGGCCGGUACAGAGGGCUGCAAUACCGUAAGGUGGAGCGAAUCCCAAAAAGCCGGUCUCAGUUCGGAUUGAGGUCUGCAACUCGACCUCAUGAAGUUGGAGUUGCUAGUAAUCGUAGAUCAGCAUCGCUACGGUGAAUACGUUCCCGGGGCUUGUACACACCGCCCGUCACGUCACGAAAGUC